UUCUCGUUAGAAUAUGAGUUCGUCUGAUUUCCAAUUAGAAGGUUCCUGAGCUGGAACGAGACU
RNAcentral lists this transfer RNA (63 nucleotides) under Bovicola ovis (sheep biting louse). Its description in RNAcentral is "tRNA-Gly". Lineage: Eukaryota; Metazoa; Arthropoda; Insecta; Psocodea; Bovicoliidae. The record is from RNAcentral.